Molecule: ribosomal RNA, 475 nt
Filed under: uncultured bacterium
Lineage: Bacteria
Description: bacterial SSU rRNA
Rfam family: Bacterial small subunit ribosomal RNA
Source: RNAcentral
UGAACGCUGGCGGCGUGCCUUACACAUGCAAGUCGGAUGUGUCGCAAGACACAUGGCAGACGGGUGAGUAACACGUGGGAAACUUACCUCUUAGUGGGGAAUAACGCUCCGAAAGGAGCGGUAAUACCGCAUGAGACCUAUCGCUGGGAUGCGAUAGAUGAAAGCUGGGGAUCGUAAGACCUAGCGCUGAGAGAGAGUCCUGCGUCUGAUUAGUUAGUUGGUGAGGUAACGGCUCACCAAGACUUCGAUCAGUAGCCGGCCUGAGAGGGCGAUCGGCCACACUGGAACUGAGACACGGUCCAGACUCCUACGGGAGGCAGCAGUGGGGAAUCUUGCGCAAUGGGCGAAAGCCUGACGCAGCAACGCCGCGUGGGUGAUGAAGGUCUUCGGAUUGUAAAACCCUGUCGUUAGGGACGAAGGCAUGAAUCCUAAUACGAUUCAUGUUUGACGGUACCUAGAAAGGAAGCCCCGGCUA